This 2012-nucleotide long non-coding RNA is filed under the name Chinchilla lanigera (long-tailed chinchilla). Its description in RNAcentral is "lncRNA (ENSCLAG00000027350.1)". The record is from RNAcentral. Lineage: Eukaryota; Metazoa; Chordata; Mammalia; Rodentia; Chinchillidae.
UGGCAAGGAGGAUUUAAUGUUUAGACAACCAGGCUAGAAGGUAGUAUAUGAAAUUCAUCAGAAGUUCAAAGGGUUUUAGGACUUUGGAGGUAAGAAGGAGUACAACCUGCUGGUAGAAUCAAGGAAAGUUUUAUGGAGGAGGAGUCUCUGAGAAAGGCCUUAAAUAAUGGGGAACAAUUUGACAUUUGAGAAAGAUAUUUUGGAGCAGGAGACAUGAUGAUGGGAGAGAGAGAACCUAUUUGUGAAGCUGUAAUUUGGUUUGGUUAACUUUUGGGCUUUUAGAAGUUCUGUUGAAGGAUAAAAACGGUUAGGAGAGGGUUGAACUGAAAUUCAGAUGUUUCAUAGAUGAAUGAGUAGGAAAGAAUAUACCCAGAGUUAAGCCUUAGAUGGAUUAUUUUAACAGUGGAGCUUGGGACUGAUAGAAGGAAGAAGGGGGCAGAGAGACCACUGGUUCAGUGUAUGCUUAUGGAUUUGGCACACAUUAUUAUGUACUGGCUACAUCAGCUAAAAGGAUAUAGCAGAUACAGUUUCCAAGUGGGCUAGUUGGGAGAAAAGUGAUGUAAUUUUGAACAGAUUUGGAGAAGAAUAGUCAAGAUGUUACUGUGUUGGACAUGAGCAGCCUGAGACUCAGUUGUGUAUUAAGGAUGGUGCUUUAGAGAAAGGACAGGGAAUUCUGGUUGUGGCUAUCUUGAUAUUAGCAAGUGAUGGCUACAGUGUGGGAAUUAAAUUGUGGAGGAAGAGAUCGUAGCUAAAUACUUAACAUUUCUUAAACACAUUAGGCGCUGUGCAGAACACUUUACACAUAUUAUCUCAUUUAAUCCUCCUGACAAUCCCAUAAGGUAGGUGCUAUUAAUUAUAUCUCUUACAUAGAUAACCCACUUCACAGUGAUGGAAAAUGAGGCCCCAGAUCACAACCAGAAAAUUUUAAAUCUGGGGUUGUACCUGAAGCAGGCUGACUUUAAAUCCUGUGUCAAUCUCUGUUUUAUGCAGCUUCCCAGACAGAGCGAGAGAUUACAAACUGGGAGAUGUACGGACACUUUGGGAAGAGAUCAGAAAGAGAAGUUAGCAAGACCAACGAGGAGCAGGGGGAAAAGGACGUUGGAAAGAAGCCCCAGGACGAGUGAGCUUAGGCUUGAGAGCUACCGGCAUUUUGUCAGAGCAUACAUCAGCAGCUUCUACUUUUGUCCAGCAGUGGGGCUGUUAACAAGGACUGUGGAAGGAGUGGACAGGAGAACCUGCUGGCAUAGCUUCUGUAACAUUUUUGCUUCUUGGUUAAAAAAGAGGAGAAAGGGAAAAGGACAGGAAGCAAAGGAGAGAUGAAGAAGAAGCAUUUUUUUCUACUGACGCUUUUCUUUCAGAUUCACAUAUUGUUAGAAAGAAGUAAUCUUUAUUAUAACCAAAAGGCAAAUAUUACUUGAAGCAGGGAGACAGCAAGAGACUCAGGGAGAAUGAACCACGAGCUCUCCACAGUUGUGUUUCAUUUUCCCAGCCUAACAAGAGGCACCCAAUAUUUUGGUUUUUUAAAUGAAAAGCAAAAUUUAUGUGUAUAUAUAAAAAUAGCUGGAAUACGUGUAUUUCUGGUAUAUGUGGUUUACUGAAAGGAACAGUGAAUGCUUAAAAUUUUUUUCUUGACCAACUUUGCAUGCUUGAAUCUGUUAAUCAGAAUAACUGAUCUGAAAACAACAAUAUGCAGUAUAAUAACCAUUGUUGAACUCCUACCAUCUUGUAUGGUGAAGCUCUGCAUCAUUUCCAAUGUUGAUUUUUUAUUACUUGUUACUGUCUUUGACUGUUGGAUCAACCUUACAUUCUUAUGUCUGGUGGACUGAGCAACUUCACUGAAGAUAACAGUAUGUAAUGUAGCAACCACUGUUCAUUCCUGUCAUUUUGUUUUGAGCUCAUGCAUUAUUUUUAUUGUUUUUAUGUUGUUUUGAUUUUGUCAUCAUUGUUGUUUCAUUAGUUUUUCUAAUCUUUAAAACAAAAAAAGCUGUUUUCUAUGCAAUAAUACUCCUGGA